Dermacentor silvarum is the source of this 190-nucleotide small nuclear RNA. RefSeq annotates it as U2 spliceosomal RNA. NCBI's taxonomy places the organism in Eukaryota, Metazoa, Arthropoda, Arachnida, Ixodida, Ixodidae. The transcript has a single exon. The record is from RefSeq and is a predicted model, not a curated record.
AGACGUGGCCGACGCGGGUCAAAGUGUAGUAUAUCUGUUCUUAUCAGCUUAAUAUCCGAUACGGGUUGUAUUUGUACCAAAGAUAUUAAACUUAUUUUUGCAAGUUGGCGGAGUGCUUGAAGCCUUCUUCACCUCCUCUGUGGGUCGGUCCGGUACUGCACUAUCUUAAGGAUUUUACAGCGAAGCUGUU